Long non-coding RNA from Athene cunicularia (burrowing owl), 4660 nucleotides. RefSeq lists it as uncharacterized. NCBI's taxonomy places the organism in Eukaryota, Metazoa, Chordata, Aves, Strigiformes, Strigidae. The record is from RefSeq and is a predicted model, not a curated record. The transcript is spliced from 2 exons.
UUUCCGGUGCUUCUAGUUUCAAGUUUACAAAAGGGUAUUUUUCACACUGAUACUCACUUAGGCAGUUUUGUUUAAAGUAAUUGGUGACAUAAUUGCAGGUAUUUUUGAAUGAAAAUGCCCACUGAGUUUUAUAGUUUGUCCUCUUGUCUUCAAAACCGAUGGCUGUGCUCACUGCUACUUCAGAGGUGACACGUGUUCUGGUGCCUCUAGAAAGAUGUAGGAGCAGCAGGAAAAACAGUAAGGCUGUUCUAAUAGCCAUCAAAUGUAAAGCCAAUACUGACAUGGGACAGCAGGUUAAUUCCUCAAUAGAUUUUAAAAAAAAAUUAUUAUUAAAUCCAUUUGGAUUGGUCUACAUCUUGUUUCUGAGCUGGUUUUACUGUGGAACAUGUCCUGCACAGUGUCCUAAGGGAAACCUAAUACAUCCUAACAUUUUUCCUUCAGUAACAUGAAACUCUCACCCUUCUUAGACUUGAAGACAGGUUAAAAAAGGAUAAAGUAAGUUUUAUAAGAAAAUAUCCAAAUAUUGGAUAUGAAUUGGAUAUGAAUGCUCUUCCUUAUUCAAAGAAUAAAGUUUUGCUGUACUUCUGAUCAGUACGUAUAGGAUUCUGAAGAAAGAAAUAUUUUACAAGGCUGCUUUGUGAGAAAGUUGUACUGGAACAAAGAUGUGCAAUGGUAGGAAAUGCAGGGUGAGUCCUGGGAAUUGGUUUGGAUAAUACUGGUAGGAAAUACCUGGAAACUGGUAUUUUUUUAUUAUAAACCUAGGAAAGCAGAGGCUUCUACUUUCAUCAGUGCCUUUUCUCAUUACCAUAUGGGUUGCAUGUAAAGUAUCUGGAAUUCUUGGUGUCGAUACAUUAUAUAAAGGCUUCCUAUGUAGUUGCUGGGGAGAGAAACUGGGGCAGUUGGGUAUUUCUCAAGUAUAUUUUUGUUUCUGGAAGCUGUCAAAGGAGAUUUCACAACCUUCUCUUGAACCUUUGAACUAAAGAACACCCAUGUGUCACGUAAUCUGGUCUGGCCCAACAAGCAGGGUUUAAGGGGCACAGUCAGUCCUUGCUUCCUCUCCUCUUCUCUAAGCAUAGUACAGCAUGGUUGUCGUCACCUGCACAACACUGACUGCAACCCAGUAAUUGCAACAUACUCUGUAUUUGCCUGUGCUGAUGUGAUUUGUCAGGCUUUUUUCUGAAACACAUCACUUUUCAGUAAUAAAGCAAUUUGAACUGGGAAUCGCUUUGUAAGUCUCCUCUUGUGUGUGUUACUGGACUUACUGCACUCCUUAGAGAACUGUUGUCUCCUUCCCAUUCCCCAUUUCAAAGGCUACUCAGGAUGAGACACAGUGUCUGGAGUUACGUGCAGAAUCCCUGGUAUCUGUUGGUGGUCACAUGUAAUAUGAGGGUUGCAGUUUUCUGUUGUCUCUCUAAAAGCUGGGUUCUGUUUCAGUCUGUCUCCUCAGCUGCAAAGUUGUUUUUUUAAGUUUUUCUGGCAAUUGCGGGGAGGGAAAGAAUAAAGUUAAAAUUAGCUCAUAUUUUACGAGCUAUUUAAAGCUGUUGUUUAACCCUGUCCAGUCAACAUCAGUAAUUUAGUAUAGCAUUAUUCUAGGUUAUGUGGAUGCUCCAAAGACUUUGUUUUGCAGUAUGUCCUGAAGCUGCAAAUGCAGCUGCUAAUUUAAAUAGCUUUCUGAUCCUUCUUACACAAGAUGGGUAUGUCUGGGACAAUAAAAGCUUCCUGAAUUAUGAAAACUUCUUGAAAUUGGGUAACUAGAAGCUGUAGUAAAUUUAAUCCAGCUUUUUACAUUAGGUCAUCCUGUAGAGAAGUGUGUGAAAUUGCACUCACAUUAACUUCUGAAAAGCUAAGUGUGUUUAAUACUAGAGGCCAGUGAUGGGCCAAACAAUGCUUUCAGUGGUGUGUGUAUGUAAAUAUUCAUAAGAAUUAAAAGCAAACUUUCUGGAUUACUAAUGUCUCUGGAUACACCUGGGCUCACGGGCUGCGUUGUUGUACUGGCUCAAUGGGAUGACGGCAGCCUGGCUCAGAAGAGCGUAUGCGAAGCCUGUCUGAGUGGGUUGUGUAUUCUUUGAGUGCUGUCCAGAAAUGUUAAAAAUAACAUUAAUCAUGAGUAUGCAUGUUGGGUGUAUUUGAGAGAAGAAUGCCUGCAGCUGUUGGAGAACAAUAACAGCCAUAACAAAUAACACGCAAUUAACUCAAAAUAAGUGAAGUUCGGAUCAGUUUCACAAAAAGAUAAUGCUUAUCAUAAAGCUUACCUCAGCAGCUUCAACAUGAUGAUUCCACUGUAUGAUCUUUCACAAAACUCUGUUUUGGAAGAAAACGUAUGGUUGAUUUUUCUUGGGAAAAGCAGCUCAACUUCUUUAUAAAGCCAUUGCUUUUUGCAUGCUGUGUAUGUACUAAGGGAAGAGUAUUUUCACUGAAGGUUGUGCUGAACAUGGAACACUGUUCUUAAUAUAUCUUAUGUGAUUUUGGUACACAUUCAAGCUGUUUAUUCCUUAGAUUAUUUUGUCUCUGAAGCCCACAGACUGAAAUUGUAGCUAGAUUUAAAACAAGGUAGUACAAGGAGAGACCUUAAGAAGUGGCAUAGUAAUUCUAUUUAAAUCAAAAAGGCAGCUAUUUACAGACAGUGAUAAAAUGUCAGUCAGACUUUAUAGUAUUACCCUACACAACAUUAACUUGUUAUUUCCAUCAGUUAGAUUUUUGAAUUGAUGCCUGUAUGUUCAGACAUCAGAUCCAUUUGUGAGGGGAGGAGGACUUCUUCCAAUUUAAUGUGUAAGCUUUGGCAGAAAUAACUGUAUUAGAUUGUUGGCUUAUCUUUCAGCUUGCCUUUUCAAGUGUGUUUGGUCAUGUCUGUUCGAUUAAUCAUUACAAAGUAUAAAUCCUGAGGUGAUUGAGGAGUCUUCUGAAACACCACCAGCUGCUUUAGUCUGCAGUAUCUCCCGGUGGCUCUUGCUGCCUUGUGCAGAGGCAGUGCUGUGGCUAUACUGCUGUUUGGGUAGAUACUAGCUGUGGUGACUUGUCAGGAGCUUUCUGACAAGGGAUUGUCAGUAAUGGCUUGUGAGCUCCCCCUGUCCCACCUGAAGGUACUUGUCUCUGCUCACUGGGGUCAAGGCUUGCAUGUGGCUUUACCGGGUGGGCCUCCCUCUGUGGAGCUACGAGUGCAGCAUGUAACAGCACCAGGCUACUUGGGGCACGGUGUCUGUCAUUCUCCUGUUACUGUCUGUGCACUUGUGUUGGUGCUGGCUGCCAGGAAUGUGAAACCAAUACCUUUUGACCACUGAGGACUCUUAACAGGAGCACACCUUGUCCUGACUUUGAUUUUAAUCAGAUUUUAAACUUAUCUCCUGCCUGAUUCUCAUCAAGCUUUAUUUCUACUCACCUGACUAAUGUCAAAUAUAAGCAAAGUCUGAGAUAUCAUCUUGAGUGUUUGAUGUGCACAGAACUCGUUGGCUAAACACACAUGUAUGCCCUUGAGAAGAAAACACACAGAACUGUCUUUAUCUUAAAAGUCUGCUUAUCAUGAGUUGUUCACUCCUAAAAGAUGCUGCAGUGGUGUCCAAGUAAUAAGUGAAAAUGUGAAGCAUACUGAACUUUCUGUUCAGAUUGUUCUGGAUGCAGUCUGUGGUGGGACAAGCUUGGAACGUGUGUUUUCCAACCAGGAUUCAUGUUAGGCUUAGUACCAGCAGUUGGGAAAAGCUGUUCAGGGAAAGCGAGCUUGACAAAUUGCUGGCAGCCCAUGAGGCUUUUCUAGCUUACUCUACAAGUCCAUCUGGGGGACCAAGAGGAGUUUUUGCCGAGCUGGGAGAGCCUGGUGGAGAGUGGACACGCUGACCGAGAUGGAGAGCAGCAGGUGCAGAGAGGAGCUCUGUGAAGUGGACCUGGAAGGGACCAGGACUGAUGCAGUGCCCCCUGGGGAAACCCCUCUGAAGGGUGGAUUUGUGGCCAGCUAGUGGCUUCCUUGUGAAGAGGGCUUGGCACUAACUCUGUGGAGUGAUUAGGGGUAGAUCCCACAAGGGCUUACAUUCUUUGGUACAAAGAGCAUGAUGUGGUUAAUGUGAGGUGUUUCUAAUACAUGCUGUGUCGCAAGAGGUGCGUCUUGCCUGUUGUGCUGAUUAUACAGAAGAUAACCUGGCUCACCAUCAAAGCUGGUGCUAAUGCACAACAGGAAGAAUCAUCUCCUGUGGCUGUGUCUAGUGUUUUGCACAGUGAAAAUUGUGUGGCCCACUCUACUGCAUCAGCCACGAAUAAGGGCAUGCAGGUCUCUGGCACUUGCUGAGAGCUGAAGUGAUCAUCCAUGAGCUCACAAGAUGCACAUGUGGAGUUUCCUCCUGAGGCAUGACCAGAUCACCUGCUCAUCAGCAGAGUUCUUUAGUCUGCAGGGGCUCACCUUUCAGAAGCUGGGGAAACAUCUUCAGCGCUGAUCUGUGUGAAGCAAUUGAUUCUUGUUUGUAGCCAGAAUAGCCUGGCAAGGACUAAAAUAGUACUUAGUUGGAAUCAGUCCAUGGUCAUCAAUACCAGUCCUUGCCAGUUUUCCCAGCUGUGUGGACAGUAGACCUUCAGCUGUUCUUGCUUGAUUUCAGGGCAGUAGUGCAUUGUCUUUUGGAAGCAAAAGGCAUUCUUGCCCAUCUUUUCUCAUUUGUGAUGUGAUGGCCGAGGAAAUAAG